RNAcentral lists this ribosomal RNA (406 nucleotides) under uncultured bacterium. RNAcentral describes it as "partial 16S ribosomal RNA". It matches the Rfam family "Bacterial small subunit ribosomal RNA", at positions 30 to 526 of the family's 1533-position model. The record is from RNAcentral.
AUUGAACGCUGGCGGCAGGCCUAACACAUGCAAGUCGAGCGAGCGGCGGACGGGUGAGUAAUGUCUGGGAAACUGCCUGAUGGAGGGGGCUAACUACUGGAAACGGUAGCUAAUACCGCAUACCCUCAGAUGUGCCCAGAUGGGUUUAGCUAGUAGGUGGGGUAACGGCACCCCUAGGCGACGAUCCCUAGCUGGUCUGAGAGGAUGACCAGCCACACUGGAACGGAGACACGGUCCUGACUCCUAGGGGAGGCAGCAGUGGGGAAUAUUGCACAAUGGGGGCAACCCUGACGCAGCCAUGCCGCGUGAAUGAAGAAGGCCUUCGGGUUGUAAAGUUCUUUCGGUGACGAGGCGUUAAUCACAGAAGAAGCACCGGCUAACUCCGUGCCAGCAGCCGCGGUAAUUC